This 426-nucleotide transfer-messenger RNA is filed under the name Patescibacteria group. Its description in RNAcentral is "GWF2-35-18 sp001771135 Standard tmRNA". It matches the Rfam family "transfer-messenger RNA". Rfam says of the family: Bacterial tmRNA, also known as 10Sa RNA or SsrA, is named for its dual tRNA and mRNA-like properties. Its role is to liberate the mRNA from a stalled ribosome. The record is from RNAcentral. RNAcentral also lists the same sequence under 3 other names.
GGGGAUGUUUAGCUUUGACAGAAGAAGCUCUUUAAAAAGGCAGACCGUGGUUUUCUAGUAAACACGUAAUUUCUAGAUAAGGCUUUAAAUGCCAAAAACUAUAACGAUGCAGAUUUAGGAAACGAGGACGGCUUUGCUGCUCCUUCUUAUGCUUUUGCAUUUGCCUAAAUAAGCUAUUUCCAAGGCAAUCUCUUCUAGUGGAUUCUUGGAAGUAUAAAACAGCUAGAAUCUUUGUUUUGCUGCCGUUGGAAGCAUUAUGAAGAACUUUAAAACCCCAACACUACUACUGGAAUCAUAGAUAAGUCAGAUGAUCUACCAGUAGUAACUCCGCGCAAGCGAAUAGGAGGUAAAAACAUCUGACUAUGUCUGUAGAACUUUUUAGGGAAAAUCUUUUGGACGGGGGUGCAAAUCCCCCCAUCUCCACCA